UACCAAUUAAGAAUGGGACUCAUUCAGGCAUUCCAUCAAACACAUCACAGGCAUGAAAAGAUAAGCACAAAGACACCAAAUUUACGUGGUUCGGCAGCAAGUGCCUCCAUCCACGGGGAGGAGGAGCAAUCCAUUAUAUCAAUCUUCCCAAUAGGGUACAAACAUAGAUACAUAAGAGCCCAAAAUAUGGACUGCCAAAUGAUCACAAUAUGAGGCAAUAUAAAACCAAAUAUAAAGCAAGAAACAACCUGAUCGGAUCACCCUUCUGCAGCCACAAUGAUAGAUCAAAAGUGUAGUAUGCAAAUCAACCUUUCUACGGCUCCAAUGGUAGAUCAAAUGAGUAUCAAAACCAUACCUUCCCUUGUUGCAAUUUCUGUGAACAGCAAAGAAGAAAGGGGCUCACGGGAANN
Molecule: long non-coding RNA, 410 nt
Filed under: Phoenix dactylifera (date palm)
Lineage: Eukaryota; Viridiplantae; Streptophyta; Magnoliopsida; Arecales; Arecaceae
Description: long non-coding RNA (PDAC_LNC004504)
Source: RNAcentral